Molecule: ribosomal RNA, 253 nt
Filed under: uncultured bacterium
Lineage: Bacteria
Description: partial 16S ribosomal RNA
Rfam family: Bacterial small subunit ribosomal RNA
Source: RNAcentral
UACGGAGGGCGCUAGCGUUGCUCGGAAUCACUGGGCGUAAAGCGCACGUAGGCGGCUCGUUAAGUCAGGGGUGAAAUCCUGGAGCUCAACUCCAGAACUGCCUUUGAUACUGGCGUCCUUGAGUUCGGGAGAGGUGAGUGGAACUGCGGGUGUAGAGGUGAAAUUCGUAGAUAUUCGCAAGAACACCAGUGGCGAAAGCGGGUCACUGGCCCGAUACUGACGCUGAGGUGCGAAAGCGUGGGGAGCAAACAGG